UACGUAGGGUGCAGGCGUUAAUCGGAAUUACUGGGCGUAAAGCGUGCGCAGGCGGUUUGCUAAGACAGGUGUGAAAUCCCCGGGCUUAACCUGGGAACUGCGCUUGUAACUGGCAAGCUUGAGUGUGGCAGAGGGGGGUGGAAUUCCACGUGUAGCGGUGGAAUGCGUAGAGAUCCGGAAGAACACCGGUGGCGAAGGCGGCCUGCUGGGACAGUGCUGACGCUGAGGCGCGACAGCGUGGGGAGCAAACAGG
RNAcentral lists this ribosomal RNA (253 nucleotides) under uncultured bacterium. RNAcentral describes it as "partial 16S ribosomal RNA". It matches the Rfam family "Bacterial small subunit ribosomal RNA", at positions 524 to 776 of the family's 1533-position model. The record is from RNAcentral.